UUAUCUAACCUUGGUUUAUCUUGUGCAAUGUAGAUUCGAGUUUCUGCUGUAUUGACCAACAGUGCAUAUCUUUUGAAUGUUGAUUGUGAUCACUAUUUCAAUAAUUGCAAAGCUCUUAAAGAAGCAAUGUGUUUCAUGAUGGAUCCCGCUUAUGGAAAGAAGACAUGCUAUGUGCAAUUUCCUCAGAGAUUUGAUGGCAUUGAUUUGCACGAUCUAUAUGCCAAUCACAAUAUUGUCUUCUUCGAUAUCAACAUGAAAGGUCAUGAUGGUAUUCAGGGUCCAGUCUCUGUGGGAACUGAUUGCUGUUUCAACAGGCAAGCUUUGUAUGUGCAUGGAAUCAUCGUUGCUGGUUAAUCUCAUACAUGACUAGCGAAUAGCGGCUACUGCAGAAAAUUGCGGAGGACCAAAGUUACGCAGAAGAAACUGCAUCUUAUGGUCAUAAUGCUGAUAUUGUCCAAGUAGCAAAGUUAUAAUUAUUCUGGAUGAACGUGAUUGGAAUGAAACAUUACGUCGGAAGCGAGAAAGUUAUUAGUGUCCAAGAAGAAGCAGAUAUUAAUGUUUGUAGACGAACAUCUACUGUCAGAACUUGUUCUCUCAUGCUCACCCAAAAGUGAACAAGCUUGGAGUCAUAGGCGAUGGGUGAUCAAGUCAAUCUCCGCAAACUGUUCAAAUUUCAAAGAGAUUUUAGGAAAAGAAUUUGAGCUGGUGGAAAAAAUAAAGAUCAAAGAUGAAUUAUCGUGCAUGGAAUCAUCGUUGCUGGUUAAUCUCAUACACGACUAACGAACAGCGGCUACUGCAGAAAAUUGCGGAGGACCAAAGUUACACAGAAGAAACUGCAUCUUAUGGUCAUAAUGCUGAUAUUGUCCAAGUAGUGAAGGACAAACUUGAUUGGAAUGAAACAUUGAUAAAGCGUUACUUCGGAAGAGAGAAUGCUAAAGCAGCUGAGUCUGAUGCGGCUCAGACAUAUUCGGCGGCUGUUAAUUGGAAAAGUCCAACUCUGGGGCGAUUCAAAUGUAAUAUUGAUGCAUUCUUUGCGUCACAUUUAAAUAGAGUUUGAAUUGGAAUAUGCAUCCGCGAUGAACUUGGUCAAUUUGUGUUUUCAAAGACGAAAUGGAUUGCCCUUCUUUGUGGAGUGGAUGUUGGUGGACCUCUUGGUGAGUAUAUGUCCCUAAAUGAUGGUAUGUCUGUUGAUGUCCCUAAAUUUAGUUUAUGUCCCUCGACGUCCCUAAAAUCGAUGGUUUGGAUGCAAUUUCAAUGUGAAUGGUUAUCCAUAACCACCAAUGUAAGUAGAGAAGACCCUUGGCGCCUUAGAUGCAAAAUUGAAUAUAUGUCCCUCAAUGUCCGUAAAUUGAAUAUAUGUUCCUAUGGUCGGAAUGCAAUUUAAAUGUGAAUGGUUAAUCUUGAUUGUCCAACAAUGUGCUAAAUUGGUGAAUCUUGAUUAUUCAAACCUAAGAAGGAUAAUUUGGAAAGAAAUUGUAUAAUGGCUAAAAGAAUUCUUAAGACAAUUAUUCAGAUGAUGUGUUUGGAGAUGACCCCAUCGAGAUGAAUUUUUUACGAAAAAUGUGGUUUACAAUAUGAAUUCUUAUUUUGUGGUCUAAAUGCAAUUUGAAUAUGAUGGUAUUAUUCAUAACUUCAAAUGAAAGUCAAGAUCACCCUUGAUAAUGAGCUUUGAUAACCACUUGUUGGCCUAAAUGCAAUUUAAUUAUUAAUGUUUAUUAAUAAUUUAAGAUGGUUGUAUGUUUAUUUUUCAUAAAUUCGGAUGAUGGUAGUGUACUAGUGUGCCUUGGCAACCAUAGAUGUAUAAAUUGAACAUAUGUCUUUGAUGACUUUGAAUGCAAAAA
This is an RNA transcript of Trifolium pratense (red clover), 1841 nucleotides long. RefSeq lists it as uncharacterized. The transcript has 10 exons. NCBI's taxonomy places the organism in Eukaryota, Viridiplantae, Streptophyta, Magnoliopsida, Fabales, Fabaceae. The record is from RefSeq and is a predicted model, not a curated record.